CCGGUGGCGAAAGCGGCUNUCUGGUCUGUAACUGACGCUGAGGCUCGAAAGCGUGGGGAGCGAACAGGAUUAGAUACCCUGGUAGUNCACGCCGUAAACGAUGAGUGNUAGGUGUUGGAUCCUUUCCGGGAUUCAGUGCCGCAGCUAACGCAUUAAGCACUCCGCCUGGGGAGUACGACCGCAAGGUUGAAACUCAAAGGAAUUGACGGGGGCCCGCACAAGCGGUGGAGCGUGUGGUUUAAUUCGAAGCAACGCGAAGAACCUUACCAGGUCUUGACAUCCCGAUGCUAUUUCUAGAGAUAGGAAGUUACUUCGGUACAUCGGUGACAGGUGGUGCAUGGUUGUCGUCAGCUCGUGUCGUGAGAUGUUGGGUUAAGUCCCGCAACGAGCGCAACCCCUAUUGUUAGUUGCCAUCAUUCAGUUGGGCACUCUAGCAAGACUGCCGGUAAUAAACCGGAGGAAGGUGGGGAUGACGUCAAAUCAUCAUGCCCCUUAUGACCUGGGCUACGCACGUGCUACAAUGGUUGGUACAACGAGUUGCGAGUCGGUGACGGCGAGCUAAUCUCUUAAAGCCAAUCUCAGUUCGGAUUGUAGGCUGCAACUCGCCUACAUGAAGUCGGAAUCGCUGGUAAUCGCGGAUCAGCACGCCGCGGUGAAUACGUUCCCGGGCCUUGUACACACCGCCCGUCACACCACGAGAGUUUGUAACACCCGAAGUCG
RNAcentral lists this ribosomal RNA (720 nucleotides) under uncultured bacterium. RNAcentral describes it as "bacterial SSU rRNA". It matches the Rfam family "Bacterial small subunit ribosomal RNA", at positions 709 to 1429 of the family's 1533-position model. The record is from RNAcentral.